This 2254-nucleotide long non-coding RNA is filed under the name Spirodela polyrhiza (greater duckweed). Its description in RNAcentral is "long non-coding RNA (SPOL_LNC000746)". Lineage: Eukaryota; Viridiplantae; Streptophyta; Magnoliopsida; Alismatales; Araceae. The record is from RNAcentral.
UGCACUGACGACGGACACCCAAGCAACACAGAGACAGCCAUUGCUAAGCACCACUGAAUCUGGUGAGGAGCUGGGUCGACUUCCUAGCGGUUCACUCAUCCAUGACAGCCACACCAAUAACCCCGUUAUGAACUGGGGCACUUCAAUUUUUUCUGAACUAUCCAAAAAAAAUUAUUCUAAAAAAUAUUAUUGAGCUUAACCGGACUUUCCUCAUCCCUCACAUAAGACUGGAAUCGCUUGAUAUCUUUUUGAAGAAAUCAAUCGAUGUUUCCAUGAAUUAUCUUUUCGAAGAAAUUAAUCAAUGACAUCGGAACAGCAUGAUGAAGAUGGAACAGCGAAAAAAGAUCAUGCAAUUGGAACGUGGCGGUUGCGAUAAUUUUAAAAAAAAGUUUCACGGCUGCAAUAGCCAUCAAAGGGCUAGAAUCAAAGUGGGAAGUACUGGUUCCAUAACCUGAAUCAAACUGGGGAUUGAAUCAGAAGAUUAAUGCCAGCUCCUUAUAUUGAAAACAACAAAACUUUGAAGAGUCAAAAUGGUGCCUGGACCUUUGUCCUCCAUCUACUUAGAUCUCUGCCUCAUCUUUCUGCGCUUCCUCUUCAACCUCCUCAUGCGCUUCUUCUUCCACUGCAAAAAAAAGGAAGGAAAAAUGAAACUUUCGGAAAGGGUUGAUUUCAAGCUAAUGUUACUGGAUUAACGUAAUUUGAAGAAUCAGGCUAACAAGAAAUUUUGGUCUUCCAUCCAUAUCGUAGAGAAAAGCUUGUUUGGCCCAAUGUCUACUUUUUACUAGGGAAAUAAAAGCAUACACUAAUCCGCAUGAUAAGAAUUGCACGUAUAGACUCAGAUCUGGAAAAAAUAGUACAAAAUUGUACAAAAUAUGCUAUAAGCGUCAAUGAAGUAGAUUCCAAAAAAAUACCACUAAAUUUUACUAAGUCAGGGUUCUGAUUAGAACGUCAAUUCCAGCAUGAAAAACUAGCCUUUAGUGGAGAAGUAAUGAAUCAAUCCAAAGCAUUUAUUAGGGUUCUGAGGUAUACUUAUGGUAAUUAACGUAUUGUCUCUGUCUUCAGCAUUGAGGGCUUUAGAGUAAAUACUCUAUCCAAUAUUUCUCCACGGAAACCAAAAUUAGUAGAAAAUAAAGAAGAACAGGGGGAGGAAGAGUACGAUAAUAAGGAUAAUGAUAAUCAAAGGAAGAAAUGUAAGAAAGAAAUGCGAAAUGACUUUAUUGUGGUACAAAUGGCCUUAGGUUAUUGUUAUGUCUCCUUAUUAUAAAUUUCAUUCUUUCCACUCUUUCAUUCCCUUUUUCUUGAUAUUAUAGAUCAGAACUGAGGUCAGCUAGUCGGACAUUCAACAUAUGGAGAACGGUGCGAUGGUACAUUCGUAAUUCCCUGCAGUAUAGCACAAUUUAACACCACAGAUCGUAUAGGACAUGUCUCUAGAAAUAAGGCAUAGUGAUCUACGUUGAAAAGUUUAUCCUAGAGAAACCUACACCACCAAAAUUCGACAAACAACCGAAAAGCAAGAGAAGACAUUCCAGCCGUUGACCUAAGAGAGACAACAUGAAAAAGUAUAUAGCGGAAGACCACUGCUGCCACAUUUUCAGAGUAUCGGAAUCAGAAACGUCUGCGACAGUGCACCAUAACGGAAGACAUGAAAAUCAUAAAACAGCCCUCAAUUUGCAAAAGGAUUUAGGCCAAAAAAUAUAGGCGAAAUGAAAAGCUUGCCCAAGUUUAUAUGGAAUAAGAAAAAAUCAAUCUAAUGGAAGUAGAAAGACGGAAAUCACAAUGAAAAUGAGUCAGUUUCUACAUGAUCGACUGUGGAGACAACCAGUAUUCCUAGUUAUUCACAUUGCGAACUACCCAGAGACAUCGCACAGCAAAUGAUGCCAUGGAUAUUUCGAUGUCAUAUUCUUCGAAAAAAAAUGCACACUCAGUCAAUGUCUAAUCAAAGGAAACGCACUGCCGGAGUCGAGGCACGAAGACAGAUCUAUCAACUAUGCCAGCCACCCGGAUCAAAUAGAGAAUACGCAUGGAGCAAACAGGAAUCUACAGACCCAGCCGUGAACGCAAACGAAACGGGAAAUCGGCCGAAGAAAAGUGAAAAUGGUGGAUGAAAGUUUAUCACUGAUCCUACCUUCGCCCUCAUGAUCGCCGGUAUUCCCCCCGCGCGGCCCCCUGCUUCUCGUCUGGAGGCUGCUGCGAAGAGAGGGAAGAGAGAGGGAGAGAGGGGGAGAGCGAGGUCUGCGAUUUAUAGGAUAUGUUU